CUUGCUUUCCUUGCCGGCGACCGGCGCACGGGUGAGUAACACGUAUGCAACCUGCCCUCUUCAGGGGGAAACCCCGUCUAAUACCGCGUAACGCGGCCUAGGGACAUCCCAAGGCCGCCAAAGGGAGCAAUCCCGGCCACGGAUGGGCAUGCGGCGCAUUAGCUAGUCGGCGGGGUAACGGCCCACCGAGGCGACGAUGCGUAGGGGUUCUGAGAGGAAGGCCCCCCACACUGGUACUGAGACACGGACCAGACUCCUACGGGAGGCAGCAG
Molecule: ribosomal RNA, 272 nt
Filed under: uncultured bacterium
Lineage: Bacteria
Description: partial 16S ribosomal RNA
Rfam family: Bacterial small subunit ribosomal RNA
Source: RNAcentral